Molecule: non-coding RNA, 21 nt
Filed under: Caenorhabditis elegans
Lineage: Eukaryota; Metazoa; Nematoda; Chromadorea; Rhabditida; Rhabditidae
Source: RNAcentral
UCGUAUUUCUUGUUGUGUUUU